CAAGAGCGUAUAUUAAAGUUGUUGCAGUUAAAAAGCUCGUAGUUGGAUUUCUGGUACAAUGCGCCUGGCCCGCGGCAGUAAUGCCUGUGAGUGCCGGUGCGCGUUUGCCAUCCUUCUAGAAAACGUUUCUACCCUUUACUGGGCCGGACUCGCGAUCUAGAUCUUUUACUUUGAAAAAAUUAGAGUGUUCAAAGCAGGCUUUUGCUGUGAAUACAUUAGCAUGGAAUAAUAAGAUAGGACUUUGGUACUAUUUUGUUGGUUUGAGAACCAAGGUAAUGAUCAAUAGGGACAGUUGGGGGUAUUCGUAUUCAGUUGUCAGAGGUGAAAUUCUUAGAUUUCCGGAAGACGAACUACUGCGAAAGCAUUUACCAAGGAUGUUUUCAUUAAUCAAGAACGAAAGUAUGGGGAUCGAAGACGAUCAGAUACCGU
Molecule: ribosomal RNA, 429 nt
Filed under: uncultured eukaryote
Lineage: Eukaryota
Description: bacterial SSU rRNA
Rfam family: Eukaryotic small subunit ribosomal RNA
Source: RNAcentral